GCGUCGGUUUUCACCC
This 16-nucleotide ribosomal RNA is filed under the name Scenedesmus quadricauda. RNAcentral describes it as "partial 5.8S ribosomal RNA". The record is from RNAcentral. Lineage: Eukaryota; Viridiplantae; Chlorophyta; Chlorophyceae; Sphaeropleales; Scenedesmaceae. RNAcentral also lists the same sequence under 1 other name.